GGGGCACAUUACCCCUAUCCCAAAUCAAUGUGGGAUCUUAAGAAAAAUUCUAUGAAGAAAUCGAGCAACUAAACUGAUUUGGCAUCUAAAAACAAUCCAAUUACUGCAGCUUGAAUGGUGCACACCUAAGAGUCCCAUAAUUAAGAUGGGAAUUGCAAUAUCAAAUUAUCAACAAGAUCAUAUCCCAUGAAAGCAGCAAAUUGACAGCUUUUUCAUGUAAAUUGAUACCUACAAAGCAUUCAAAUUACCAUGCAACAUCUAUUAACGUUUGGUCAAGUUGUGCCAGGUUCACAUGCCUUACCUAGUGAGUUGAUGUAAUUUUGCUGAGAACCCACUAACCAUACUUAACCAAACAAAUUUUUGGACUUCCCAAACAGCACAAUAAUUGUGAUAACAGAAUCAUAUACAAUUACGCUUGAAAUAAUCCAACAAUACGUAAAAGAUGCACUUGAAUUAUGCAUAUCAUUGAAAAGAAAGUAUGAGCUCGUGUCCAUAUUUAAGUAAUAAAAAUCACAUGCUUAUUUCAAAUAAAAUAAACCCUGCCCUGAUUACACAUCAAAUAUCAUUUCCAAUAAACUACCAGGAAAGUUCUGACAUGCACAUUUUGGCAUCAACAUUGACAUGUCAGCAACAUAUUUAUACCAGAAAGAACAAAUAAAAAGUUUAAGUUAUAUUGGUAUGAAUAAAUAUCUUGACAGACCUCUAGAGAUUAGAAGUUGAAUAACCAAUCAUUAUCAUGUAAUCCUGCUCCCAAAAAUUAUGAGAAUAGACUUCAUAAUGUUUCUUAAAAUCUAAUGCACAGAAUAAAGACAUUAUCAGAGGAAUGAAAAGGUUUUCAGAUGAAUAGAAUACCAAUUCUAGGAUAAAAAACAGAGAUUGUUGCUCUUUCAGAGAGGGGCAUAGGAAAAAAGAAAGAGAAGGGCCCUGCCGCACCCCGUGGGGUUUUGUUGGGCGGGGGGCGGGGGGAGGUGGUGGUGGUGGUUUGGUGUUUAACUUUACAGCCCAGGGAUUUCUUUUAAUUAACCACUUGAAGAUGCGUAAAACUAAGGCAGGGCAGCAAAACCCUUCACCUUCAACUUUACAACCCUGGGAAAUUUAGAACAUGCAAAACGAACAUGGAUUUUACAGGCAAUUGUAUGGAUAUUUGCAAGAUUUUCUAGCUCACUUUUUCUCACAUAACUUCUAAAUGAAAAAAGGAAAGCGUCCCAUGAGAUUUUCCUGCAUUUAAUUCCAGACAUCAAUGUUUACAUACUCAAAAUAAUGAAAAGCAAAGGCAAAAGCAGAACCAUGAGAGACUGAAGAGACAGCUACAACCUCAAAUAUGAAGAUAUCACCAAUCUUGCAUGAGCUGCAAAGUUGAUAUGGAUAGGUAGACUCAACAUCCAAUUCUCAAAACUCAA
This 1400-nucleotide unclassified non-coding RNA is filed under the name Hevea brasiliensis (rubber tree). Lineage: Eukaryota; Viridiplantae; Streptophyta; Magnoliopsida; Malpighiales; Euphorbiaceae. The record is from RNAcentral.